CCCAUGCCACUAUGCUAUCUCUAAUUCUGCCAUCCAGACCGAGCAAACGUACUUAAGACCUUUGUGUAAGAUCAGAAAAUCAUAAGACAGCAUUAAAAAGUACUAUACAGGAGGAGAUGGAACAAGAUGGCCAAAUAGAAGCCUCCAGCAAUCAUCUCCCCGAAAGGAAUUGAACAACUAUCAAAACAAAAUUGAACAACUAUCUAAACAAAAAAGUACCUUCAUAAAAAACAAAAAUCAGGACAAUAUCAGAACGGCACAUACAAGUGUCCCCAAGUCAUAUUUGGAAUAAGAUCACUUGGGAACACAAGUCAAAGAAGGACACAGUGUUCUGCCUCUCCUGAGUAAGCAGCAACAACGCACCAUCUUGGAAUCAGGGGACGGCCCUCACCAGACAACUAAAUCUGCAGACACCUUGGACUUCCCAGCCUCCAGAACUGUCUUUCUGGCAACUGUCUAAACAUAAACCAGAGAAGGGCAAGGCAGACUCAGGAAGGACAAAUAGAAGGCUAUUUUCAUAAAUCGGUGAUCAGAAGAACAUAUUCCAUUUCCUGAGAUGAAAAAAUCCUUAGGAAGAGAAAGUUUUAAGGAAACCAAGAGUUCCAUUAUGGACAAAACCACCACCACAUGUGCAGCAUCCCUCUGGGUCUCUUCCAUGACAACCCUGUGGGAAGCCAGGCAAGUGAGAAUCAAUGUAAACAUGAAGUUCAUGCUGCUUACUGUGUCGUGAUAAUGUCCUUGUCUCCCAAUCAGGAGAUGCUUCUCUUCUGUCAGCCUGCA
This 780-nucleotide long non-coding RNA is filed under the name Homo sapiens (human). RNAcentral's name for it is "HSALNT0127724". The record is from RNAcentral. Lineage: Eukaryota; Metazoa; Chordata; Mammalia; Primates; Hominidae.